RNAcentral lists this ribosomal RNA (253 nucleotides) under uncultured bacterium. RNAcentral describes it as "partial 16S ribosomal RNA". It matches the Rfam family "Bacterial small subunit ribosomal RNA", at positions 524 to 776 of the family's 1533-position model. The record is from RNAcentral.
UACGGAGGGUGCAAGCGUUGUCCGGAUUCACUGGGUGUAAAGGGUGUGUAGGCGGAGCAGCAAGUCAGUGGUGAAAGCUUGCUGCUUAACCGUAGAAUUGCCAUAGAUACUGCUGUUCUUGAGUACUGGAGAGGCUGCUAGAAUUCGUGGUGUAGCGGUGAAAUGCGUAGAUAUCACGAGGAAUACCAGAGGCGUAGGCGGGUAGCGGGACAGAUAAUGACGAUGAGGCACGAAAGCGUGGGGAGCAAACAGG